ACGUAGGGUGCGAGCGUUAAUCGGAAUUACUGGGCGUAAAGCGUGCGCAGGCGGUUUUGUAAGACAGGCGUGAAAUCCCCGGGCUUAACCUGGGAACUGCGUUUGUGACUGCAAGACUAGAGUACGGCAGAGGGGGGUAGAAUUCCACGUGUAGCAGUGAAAUGCGUAGAUAUGUGGAGGAAUACCGAUGGCGAAGGCAGCCCCCUGGGUCGAUACUGACGCUCAUGCACGAAAGCGUGGGGAGCAAACAGGAUUAGAUACCCUGGUAGUCCACGCCCUAAACGAUGUCAACUAGGUGUUGGGGAAGGAGACUUCUUUAGUACCGCAGCUAACGCGAUAAGUUGACCGCCUGGGGAGUACGGUCGCAAGAUUA
RNAcentral lists this ribosomal RNA (373 nucleotides) under uncultured bacterium. Its description in RNAcentral is "bacterial SSU rRNA". It matches the Rfam family "Bacterial small subunit ribosomal RNA", at positions 525 to 896 of the family's 1533-position model. The record is from RNAcentral.